Hippocampus comes (tiger tail seahorse) is the source of this 156-nucleotide long non-coding RNA. RefSeq lists it as uncharacterized. The record is from RefSeq and is a predicted model, not a curated record. Lineage: Eukaryota; Metazoa; Chordata; Actinopteri; Syngnathiformes; Syngnathidae. The transcript is spliced from 2 exons.
CAGGAGAUGCGCACGAGCCUUUUGCGCACGCUCGCCUCCAGACUGCGCCGCAAAGCAUGCUGGUCUUUCCUUUCCCUCCGAGGCCAUAUUGGAAUAAGCUCACAGUCGGCCGGCUUCGGACUAGAAACCGCAAAAAUGGUGGCCGCCAAGAAGACG